This 499-nucleotide ribosomal RNA is filed under the name uncultured bacterium. RNAcentral describes it as "bacterial SSU rRNA". It matches the Rfam family "Bacterial small subunit ribosomal RNA", at positions 903 to 1397 of the family's 1533-position model. The record is from RNAcentral.
AAAUGAAUAGACGGGGACCCGCACAAGCGGUGGAGCAUGUGGUUUAAUUCGACGCAACGCGAAGAACCUUACCAGGGCUUGACAUCCCUCGCCAGGCUAGGAAACUAGCUGUUCUGAGCUUCGGUUCAGACGAGGAGACAGGUGGUGCAUGGUUGUCGUCAGCUCGUGUCGUGAGAUGUUGGGUUAAGUCCCGCAACGAGCGCAACCCCUACUUUUAGUUGCCAUCAUUAAGUUGGGCACUCUAGAGGAACUGCCGGUGACAAACCGGAGGAAGGUGGGGAUGACGUCAAAUCAUCAUGCCCUUUAUGUCCUGGGCUACACACGUGCUACAAUGGUCGGUACAAAGGGUUGCGAAAUCGCAAGAUGGAGCCAAUCUCAAAAAGCCGGUCUCAGUUCGGAUUGCAGUCUGCAACUCGACUGCAUGAAGUCGGAAUCGCUAGUAAUCGCGAGUCAGCAUAUCGCGGUGAAUACGUUCCCGGGUCUUGCACACACCGCCCGU